Molecule: ribosomal RNA, 975 nt
Filed under: uncultured organism
Description: bacterial SSU rRNA
Rfam family: Bacterial small subunit ribosomal RNA
Source: RNAcentral
ACCCUGUGGGGAUGUGAGGAAAAGCGCUUCGGCGCUGCUCGAGGAUGAGCCUGCGGCUGAUUAGUUAGUUGGUGGGGUAACGGCCUACCAAGGCGACGAUCAGUAGCCGGCCUGAGAGGGUGAGCGGCCACACUGGGACUGAGAUACGGCCCAGACUCCUACGGGAGGCAGCAGCUAAGAAUCUUCUACAAUGGACGAAAGUCUGAUAGAGCGACGCCGCGUGGGUGAUGAAGGCCGGAAGGUUGUAAAGCCCUUUUCUAUUCGAGGAAUAAGGUGUGGAGGCAAUGCCACACUGAUGACGGUAGGGUAGGAAUAAGCCCCGGCCAAUUACGUGCCAGCAGCCGCGGUAACACGUAUGGGGCGAGCGUUGUUCGGAAUCAUUGGGCGUAAAGGGCGCGUAGGCGGAUAUGCAAGCUUGGUGUGAAAGACCGCAGCUCAACUGCGGGAGCGCGCUGAGAACUGCAUAUCUUGAGUUCAAGAGGGGAAGCUGGAAUUCCAGGUGUAGGGGUGAAAUCUGUAGAUAUCUGGAAGAACAUCAGUGGCGAAGGCGAGCUUCUGGCUUUGAACUGACGCUGAGGCGCGAAAGCGUGGGGAGCGAACAGGAUUAGAUACCCUGGUAGUCCACGCUGUAAACGAUGUGCAUAGUUUGGCCUUGAAGGCUCAGUCCGUAGUAACGCGUUAAUGCCCCUGGGGAGUAUGUGCAAGAUGAACUCAAAGGAAUUGACGGGGCCGCACAACGUGGAGCAUGUGUUUAAUUGAUGAUACGCGAGGCUUACCAGGGCUAAUAUACAGGAAGGCAUGAGAGUGCCACCUUGGGGUCGUAUACAGGUGCUGCAUGCGUGCGCUCGUCCGAGUUGGUAAGUCCCGCACGAGCGCACCCCUGUUGUCUGUUGCCAGCAUUUCGGAUGGGGACUCAGACAAGACUGCCGGUGACAAACCGGAGGAAGGUGGGGACGACGUCAAGUCAUCAGGCCC